GUGACCUCAAAUCUGGUAGGACUACCCGCUGAACUUA
This 37-nucleotide ribosomal RNA is filed under the name Dermocybe malicoria. RNAcentral describes it as "partial 28S ribosomal RNA". Lineage: Eukaryota; Fungi; Basidiomycota; Agaricomycetes; Agaricales; Cortinariaceae. The record is from RNAcentral.